ACUCCUCAUCCUCGCGAACCCUACCUAGCCACUCGUCGCCUCCUCCCCUUCCAGAUCGCCGCCGCCACCUCCUUCCCCACCCCCUCCCCGCACUCGCAGCGGCUCCCACCCUCCCCGCACCCGCGCACGGCGCCGUUGGCUCCUCCACCUCCAGGCGACGCCGAGCCCGCGGUCUCCUUCCCCAAGAUCGCGCCGGAGCCCGCGGUCCUCCUCCACCUAUAGCUCGUCUCCUCUCCGGUCGCGCCGCCGACCUGUUCGUGGCCGAGCUUCGGCGAGCUGAGCAGCAGAGCUCUGACGGCUCCUCUUCUCCCCUUGCAGCCGCCUGCCGCGCCAACCUCCCUCCCUCCCUCCUCGCCAAUGAAACCCUAGCCAGCAGCCAUGGCUAGGGUUUGUGCAGUUUCUCCCCAUCCGAUCUGGCGAGUCUCCCUCCUCCUCCCCCGCUCCCUGAACCUUAGCCACUCCAAACCCCUGACCCCUUCUUGUCUCGUCUCUGCAGGUAGACCGCGCCGGCAAGCGACCAGGACGACGCCCGAAGAGGAGAGUAGGGCCUUCUCCUCACCGUGUAGCCACCGACCUUGUCCUGCUCGAGGAAGAGGAGCAGGAGGGGCGCACCCAGCCACCACAGUCGCCGCCGUCAAGGGCUUCUUCCACCUAGACCUGUAAAUCCACGGCGCCGUCGUCCAGCCACCCAAGGUGAAGGUGCCCCCAACUCCCCUCCGCCCCCUCUCCCCUCCUUGUUUCAUUCGAUCUAGCAGCCAUGGAUUUGGGUUCCUCAAGGCUGCCUAAUUACUCUCCAAAAACCAUGUGUUCCUACUACUAGCUCUAGUCGUGGAUGCUGGGUAGCUCCCUGUUUUCUCUGUUUUUAUGUAAUCCUAGAUAGAACCAUACAACUGUGGAUGACAAACACUGCAAUUUAAUCUAAAAUUGUCAUCAUCAUCCUAGCAAAUACUCCUGAAAUUACUGUAAAUUGUUGGACGAUUAUGGGCUAGUGUAGAUGCAAAAUAAGGUUGCACCUUUAGAGGAGAUAUGACACUGAUGUUGGAUGCUUGGUAGUUGUCUUGUGUUGUCUGCAUGUCGGUACUAGCAGUAUGUCCAUGAGCACCGUGCUGGUGUUAGUCGCAAUGAUCAGCUUCAAUAGCAUGACCAGUACCUGAACAUGAUGCAUAUUUAUUAACAAAAAUGGUAAUGCAUUUUGCUCAUACCAGGGUGCUCGAUUUAGUCUGUUGCGAAUGCUAAUAGACCAUGAUAACUUGUAUAUUGGACCUGCCCCCUCUCUCUGUUUGACUCGCUCAAUCUCUCUCUAUCUUUCUGCAGGCGCUGCCGGAUUAGAACUAUACGGCUUAGCGGGUGGCCCUAUUUUGCCAUCGGGACAGGAGCUCUCAUCACUGACCCCUCUUCUCCACUACACGUGUUCAACAGAAAUUGUUUUAGUUUGUCAUACAUAAUUGACUAUGCUUAUGUUGGUUGUUAUUGAGUGUAUAAUUCAUUAUAUUAAUUAUUUGUUUUGAAGUAUAACUGAAACUUCAUAUAUGUAUUUACAUUCAUGGAAAGCAUAUAAUCAAUAUCUGGUCUGAUGAUUUAUGUACUGUUAUCUCAAAUAGAAAAGCAUAUAACAGUAGCAGUAGCACAAAUUUAACUGAAUUCAAUUAAAAUUUCCAGAAUCUCUUCUUGAUCUGUAAUGUUUUAGUGCAACAAAGUCAUACCGAGUGAGGUCCAUGUGGUGCUCUGAGAUGCUCUUGAUGGUUUGUUGUCAAGACUGAUAUCCCAUGUAUGUCAUGAUGCUGCUAGCUUGUUUCAGUCCAGUAUCUCUUCUUGAUAGUCUUGUUAACAUAAUUGAGUCCAGUAACUCUAAUUAAUUAACUGAAU
This 1866-nucleotide long non-coding RNA is filed under the name Triticum aestivum (bread wheat). RNAcentral's name for it is "long non-coding RNA (TAES_LNC018441)". Lineage: Eukaryota; Viridiplantae; Streptophyta; Magnoliopsida; Poales; Poaceae. The record is from RNAcentral.